This 301-nucleotide ribosomal RNA is filed under the name uncultured bacterium. RNAcentral describes it as "partial 16S ribosomal RNA". It matches the Rfam family "Bacterial small subunit ribosomal RNA", at positions 509 to 807 of the family's 1533-position model. The record is from RNAcentral.
CAGCCGCCGCGGGAACACGUAGGUCCCGAGCGUUGUCCGGAUUUAUUGGGCGUAAAGCGAGCGCAGGCGGUCAAUUAAGUCUGAUGUGAAAGCCCCCGGCUCAACCGGGGAGGGUCAUUGGAAACUGGUUGACUUGAGUGCAGAAGAGGAGAGUGGAAUUCCAUGUGUAGCGGUGAAAUGCGUAGAUAUAUGGAGGAACACCAGUGGCGAAGGCGACUCUCUGGUCUGUAACCGACGCUGAGGCUCGAAAGCGUGGGUAGCAAACAGGAUUAGAUACCCCAGUAGUCCCUGUCUCUUAUAC